Molecule: non-coding RNA, 168 nt
Filed under: uncultured Reyranella sp.
Lineage: Bacteria; Pseudomonadati; Pseudomonadota; Alphaproteobacteria; Hyphomicrobiales; Reyranellaceae
Source: RNAcentral
AGACGGUGCCCCGCGAGGGGAUCAAAAGGGAACACGGUGCCGGGCCUCGCGCCCCAAUCCGCGGCUGCCCCCGCAACUGUGAUCGGCGAGCCGACGGCCUCGAUACCACUGGGAAACCGGGAAGGUGGCCGGAGACGAAGAACCGAGAGCCAGGAAACCUGCCGUCAU